Molecule: small nuclear RNA, 102 nt
Organism: Mustela putorius furo (domestic ferret)
Lineage: Eukaryota; Metazoa; Chordata; Mammalia; Carnivora; Mustelidae
Source: Ensembl
GUGCUCGCUUGGGCAGCACAAUUGGUAAAAUUGGAAUGAUACAGAGAUUAGCUUGGUCCUUAUGCAAGGGUGACAUAAAUUGGUGAAACGUUCCAUAUUUUA